Long non-coding RNA from Heterocephalus glaber (naked mole-rat), 859 nucleotides. The record is from Ensembl. NCBI's taxonomy places the organism in Eukaryota, Metazoa, Chordata, Mammalia, Rodentia, Bathyergidae.
GGUUGGCCUUAGGGUACAAUCAACGGUCGAUGGUUUUGAUUUUAAUUCCAAACUCACCGACAGCGUUGAAUGUUCACUGAAGCAACCUCUAAACUCAGAAUUCUGUUGACUUUACAGCCUCUGUCAGAUGAAUGACACCAAAAUUUGGCAAAUAAUACUGAUUUGAAAGCUUGGAGAAAACACACCGUUCUGUGAAGCCACACUGCAAGACUGUCUCUGAUAAGAGUUGGGGCUGUUGAGAAGCCUUUGCCUGGUGUUUAUUGUUACCCAGCUCUCGCCUGUUAUAAGAAGAAGCCCUCGAAUGGAGCCACCCUGAGAGAACAGUCUCAGCAUGUUCUGAGCUCAAAGCAUAUGCUGAAAGAUGAAAAUCCUAAUUGCAGACUGAUGUGCCCAUGGUGUUUUGUUUUCUAUUUUAAAGGAGAGAGGCCAAUGUUCUUGUGCAAAGUGAAUUUUGAGCAAGGCAGAGCAGUUACGUGGGAGGUUUUGGGAGACCCAAGUAAAGUCUGCCUCUUAAUGACCAGGCACAAGCUCCAGGGAGGUUGGGGAUUAACAGCUCACAUGCUUGAAGGUGUGAUCCAUAUUCUGCAAAAUGAUCAGCUGUAGCAGUGAUAAAGGUGAUAUAUUUCCAAUUGUUUUACUUUUUAUUUUCAUUCAGAACCUGAGGAAAAAUGGUGUUAUUUAUUGACUGCCUCAAGAACUUCAAAUACAGUCCUUAAUGCAUUGCUUGAAACAAAUUAACAUAUCUUUGUUUCUUGAAUUCGAGCAAGAUAUUAUCAACACAUACACACACACAUACACACACUUCACUUUAUACUAUUAUUGCAAUACUGUAUUUAUUGUUUAAAUUUUGAUUCAGAAA